Molecule: ribosomal RNA, 274 nt
Filed under: uncultured bacterium
Lineage: Bacteria
Description: partial 16S ribosomal RNA
Rfam family: Bacterial small subunit ribosomal RNA
Source: RNAcentral
AUACGGAGGGGGCUAGCGUUGUUCGGAUUUACUGGGCGUAAAGCGCACGUAGGCGGUUUAUCAAGUUAGGCGUGAAAGCCCCGGGCUCAACCCGGGAACUGCGCUUAUUACUGAUAGACUAGAGAGCGGGAGAGGGUAGCGGAAUUCCCAGUGUAGAGGUGAAAUUCGUAGAUAUUGGGAAGAACACCAGUUGCGAAGGCGGCUACCUGGACCGGUACUGACGCUGAGGUGCGAAAGCGUGGGGAGCAAACAGGAUUAGAUACCCGGGUAGUCC